Cinara cedri is the source of this 78-nucleotide non-coding RNA. NCBI's taxonomy places the organism in Eukaryota, Metazoa, Arthropoda, Insecta, Hemiptera, Aphididae. The record is from the annotation of a GenBank genome assembly.
UCUCUCUCUCUCUCUCUCUCUCCGUAUAUAUACAUAUACAAUAAUAAUAUAUAUAAGAGAGAGAGAGAGAGAGAGACA